This 253-nucleotide ribosomal RNA is filed under the name uncultured bacterium. RNAcentral's name for it is "partial 16S ribosomal RNA". It matches the Rfam family "Bacterial small subunit ribosomal RNA", at positions 524 to 776 of the family's 1533-position model. The record is from RNAcentral.
CACGGAGGAGGCUCGCGUUCUUCGGAAUUACUGGGCGUAAAGCGCACGUAGGCGGAACGGACAGUCAGAGGUGAAAUCCCAGGGCUCAACCUUGGAACUGCCUUUGAAACUAUCGGUCUGGAGUUCGAGAGAGGUGAGUGGAAUUCCGAGUGUAGAGGUGAAAUUCGUAGAUAUUCGGAGGAACACCAGUGGCGAAGGCGGCUCACUGGCUAGAUACUGGCGCUGAGGUGCGAAAGCGUGGGGAGCAAACAGG